UUAAUAAAGAGUUUGAUCCUGGCUCAGGACGAACGCUGGCGGCGCGCCUAACACAUGCAAGUCGAACGGGAACGUGCGCAACACUGUGUGUUGCGCAAUUGACAAUGAACAAUUGACAAUGGACAAUUAUGGAGCGGCACUUCGUGCCGCAGUUAAGAAUAGUCGCCGAAGGCGACACCAUAACUGUCAAUUGUCAACUGUCAAUUGUAAAUUGAGCAAGUAACACAGAGUGUUGCGCGCGUUUUAGUGGCGGACGGGUGAGUAACACGUGAGCAACCUGCCUUUAAGUGGGGGACAACAGCCGGAAACGGCUGCUAAUACCGCAUAAACCGGCACCCGGGCAUCCGGGAACCGGCAAAGAUUUAUCGCUUAAAGAUGGGCUCGCGCCUGAUUAGACAGUUGGCGGGGUAACGGCCCACCAAAUCUACGAUCAGUAGCCGGACUGAGAGGUUGAACGGCCACAUUGGGACUGAGACACGGCCCAGACUCCUACGGGAGGCAGCAGUGGGGGAUAUUGCACAAUGGGGGAAACCCUGAUGCAGCGACGCCGCGUGAGGGAAGAAGGUUUUCGGAUUGUAAACCUCUGUCGGAGGGGACGAUAAUGACGGUACCCUCUAAGGAAGCCACGGCUAACUACGUGCCAGCAGCCGCGGUAAUACGUAGGUGGCAAGCGUUGUCCGGAAUUACUGGGUGUAAAGGGAGUGUAGGCGGGACUUUAAGUCAGAUGUGAAAUGCGCGGGCUCAACCCGCGACCUGCAUUUGAAACUGAAGUUCUUGAGUGAAGUAGAGGCAAGCGGAAUUCCUAGUGUAGCGGUGAAAUGCAUAGAUAUUAGGAGGAACACCAGUGGCGAAGGCGGCUUGCUGGGCUUUUACUGACGCUGAGGCUCGAAAGCGUGGGGAGCAAACAGGAUUAGAUACCCUGGUAGUCCACGCCGUAAACGAUGAUUACUAGGUGUGGGGGGAUAGAACCCUUCCGUGCCGGAGUUAACACAAUAAGUAAUCCACCUGGGGAGUACGUGCGCAAGCAUGAAACUCAAAGGAAUUGACGGGGGCCCGCACAAGCAGUGGAGUAUGUGGUUUAAUUCGAAGCAACGCGAAGAACCUUACCGGGUCUUGACAUGGGGACGACAGG
Molecule: ribosomal RNA, 1132 nt
Filed under: Oscillospiraceae bacterium
Lineage: Bacteria; Bacillati; Bacillota; Clostridia; Eubacteriales; Oscillospiraceae
Description: bacterial SSU rRNA
Rfam family: Bacterial small subunit ribosomal RNA
Source: RNAcentral